UAAGAAGUAACUUAACAGAGCUCAUUGGUUUUGUUUGCUUAAGAGAAAGAGGAUUCUUAUUUGCAGCGAAGUGUUUGUAGUUCUCUGUAGGAGGAGCUCCACAGUUAUAUAAUCUCAAGGCAGAACUGCUGAGAGCAUAGAGUGAAUUACCCUGUGCACGAGAUACCAGGGAAUCAGGCACGUGGAAACAUGUCUGGAAAACCCAAGCUGCACUACUUCAAUGGACGUGGCCGCAUGGAACCAAUUCGGUGGCUCCUGGCAGCAGCUGGGGUUGAGUUUGAAGAAUCUUUCUUGGAAAAAAAGGAGGAUCUGACAAAGUUACAGAAUGGUAAGUUUCCUUCACUUUUAAAUUAUAACAGCAGCAAUAGUAAAAAUAAGAAGAAUCAGAAUUAGAAUUAGAAUUAGAGUUACUUGUCUGAGAACACUUAAGAAUUGGUAAGUCUUAGUGCCUUAAAAAGAAAAUCUCUUAACUGCAUUGUACAUGAGCUCUCAGAGGUGCAGACUGCUGUGUGUUAGGUGCUGUCAUCCACCCAGUUGCUUCAACCUUCACUGAAUCACAGAAGGGCUGAAGUCAGAAGGGACCUCUCAAGAUUAUCUACUCCACCUCUCCUCUUCAAGCAGGGCCCCCUCCAGCCAGGGACUCAGGACCACGUCCAGCUGGGUUUUGAGUAUCUCCAAGGAUGGAGAAUUUACAGCUUCUCUGGACAGCCCACACAGUCAGAGAGUUUUUCUUGAAGUUCAGGUGGCUGACUCUCCUUUGUUUCAGCUUGUGUCCUUUGCUUUCCAUCCUCUGGCAAUAGAGGCUUUUGUCUUCAGAUGAUC
This is a long non-coding RNA of Serinus canaria (Common canary), 822 nucleotides long. RefSeq lists it as uncharacterized. NCBI's taxonomy places the organism in Eukaryota, Metazoa, Chordata, Aves, Passeriformes, Fringillidae. The record is from RefSeq and is a predicted model, not a curated record. The transcript is spliced from 3 exons.